AGUAGGAUGGCUGAGAUAAUAGGCAAAAGAUUGUAAAUCUUUUUAGGAGUUGAAGUAACUCUUCUACUA
Molecule: transfer RNA, 69 nt
Filed under: Rhabdoblatta sp. RHA
Lineage: Eukaryota; Metazoa; Arthropoda; Insecta; Blattodea; Blaberidae
Description: tRNA-Tyr
Source: RNAcentral